RNAcentral lists this long non-coding RNA (459 nucleotides) under Medicago truncatula (barrel medic). Its description in RNAcentral is "lncRNA gene49823". Lineage: Eukaryota; Viridiplantae; Streptophyta; Magnoliopsida; Fabales; Fabaceae. The record is from RNAcentral.
GUGAAAACGUCAUGCAUAAUGGUAGCAAUCAAUGAUUACAUUGUUUUCAAUCCUUUUAGACGUUGUAAUAAAAAGAAUGACAUCAUCUUCAGAAGUCACACCAUUAACCCAAACUUUUCUAUAAAUAUAUAAUUGCUUGUAUACGUAUUUUACACAGGGAUGCCGAAAAUAGAAGUAUUUUGAUCAAGCAGAUGGUUUUCUGUGGUUCACAAGUGAUUGAUGAAAGCAUCUCCAACUCACAAACUGUCUUCACAUUAUAGAACAAGAACAGACAACCUUCUUGGAUGAAUCAUCAACCUUCUUCUCUCCUUAGAUUUUGCUAGAGAUGGCUGUACGACAACAUGCAUGAUUAUAACUCCACCCGCAAUAUCACCAAAUGGUGCUUUACACUGACCAACAGUCUUGUUGUUUUCCAAUAUUUUACCAGAACUAAUCAAUUUCACUUCAUUUGCUGACUUU